This 433-nucleotide ribosomal RNA is filed under the name uncultured bacterium. RNAcentral describes it as "partial 16S ribosomal RNA". It matches the Rfam family "Bacterial small subunit ribosomal RNA", at positions 29 to 507 of the family's 1533-position model. The record is from RNAcentral.
AGCGAACGCUGGCGGCAGGCCUAACACAUGCAAGUCGAACGGGUCCUUCGGGAUUAGUGGCGGACGGGUGAGUAACACGUGGGAACGUGCCCUUUGGUUCGGAACAACUCAGGGAAACUUGAGCUAAUACCGGAUGUGCCCUUCGGGGGAAAGAUUUAUCGCCAUUGGAGCGGCCCGCGUCUGAUUAGCUAGUUGGUGAGGUAACGGCCCACCAAGGCGACGAUCAGUAGCUGGUCUGAGAGGAUGAUCAGCCACACUGGGACUGAGACACGGCCCAGACUCCUACGGGAGGCAGCAGUGGGGAAUCUUGCGCAAUGGGCGAAAGCCUGACGCAGCCAUGCCGCGUGAAUGAUGAAGGUCUUAGGAUUGUAAAAUUCUUUCAGCGGGGACGAUAAUGACGGUACCCGCAGAAGAAGCUCCGGCUAACUUCGUG